RNAcentral lists this transfer RNA (101 nucleotides) under Xylaria sp. FL1777. Its description in RNAcentral is "tRNA-Ile". It matches the Rfam family "tRNA". From Rfam's summary of the family: Transfer RNA (tRNA) molecules are approximately 80 nucleotides in length. Lineage: Eukaryota; Fungi; Ascomycota; Sordariomycetes; Xylariales; Xylariaceae. The record is from RNAcentral.
GGUCCCAUAACUCAGUUGGUCAGAGUGUCGUACUAAUAUUAUGAUGAUAACUCAUAACAUUUGUCAUGCGAAAGUCGUGAGUUCGAGCCUCACUGGGACCA